CUACGGGAGGCUCCAGUGGGGAAUUUUGCGCAAUGGGCGAAAGCCUGACGCAGCAACGCCGCGUGCGGGAUGAAGGCCUUCGGGUCGUAAACCGCUGUCAAGUGGGAAGAACCCUGACGGUACCACUGAAGGAAGCCCCGGCUAACUUCGUGCCAGCAGCCGCGGUAAUACGAAGGGGGCAAGCGUUGUUCGGAAUCAUUGGGCGUAAAGCGUAUGUAGGCGGCUGGAUAAGUCGGGCGUGCAAGCCCGCGGCUCAACCGCGGAAUUGCGCUCGAAACUGUCCGGCUUGAGUGCAGAGAGGAAAGCGGAAUUCCCAGUGUAGCGGUGAAAUGCGUUGAUAUUGGGAAGAACACCAGUGGCGAAGGCGGCUUUCUGGCCUGCAACUGACGCUGAGAUACGAAAGCCAGGGGAGCGAACGGGAUUAGAUACCCCAGUAGUC
Molecule: ribosomal RNA, 439 nt
Filed under: uncultured bacterium
Lineage: Bacteria
Description: partial 16S ribosomal RNA
Rfam family: Bacterial small subunit ribosomal RNA
Source: RNAcentral